AGACAAGUAAGCUAAACUCAAGCUACCGGGCUCAUACCCCGCUUAUAGAGGUGCACUCUCUUCUCUA
RNAcentral lists this transfer RNA (67 nucleotides) under Margattea cuspidata. RNAcentral's name for it is "tRNA-Met". Lineage: Eukaryota; Metazoa; Arthropoda; Insecta; Blattodea; Pseudophyllodromiidae. The record is from RNAcentral.